UUUACCUUAGCUGGAUCAUGUAAUAGCAAUAAUAGCAUUUUAAAUGAUACACCUUUGGUCGUGUUUCAGGUCAGAGAAGUUUCAUCAAAUGGACCCAAUAUACCACCAGAACCGAGCCCUCAGGAGUCACACAAAGCCUUCGUGAGGGAGAUGAAGCACCCCAUUCUGCGGCCCGGUUACGUUCCCAUCCCUGUCUUCCAUGAGGGCGCGGAACUGAGGCAGCAACAGCAUCCGUGUUAUUCCUACAUCCAGCCCAACGCCGCACAGAGCCUCCGGUUGGACGGGCGGACACCUUCCCCGACACCAGGGCUCCACUGCCGGCCCAGAUCCCCUUUACACGGCGCCACAAACAGCUGCUCCGCUGAGCCUGGAAAGGCCGGCUCGCCUGUCUCACAAACUGCAGAGGUUUGAUAUCCGGAUGCUUGCGGCGAGACUUUGAAAUCCGUAAGCGAAAUUGUCGCAUUUCUGUCACUGUUUCAAUUUGCAAUGUUUUUUUUCAAGGUCUACACCGCCCCGCAUCACCAACCCCCGCGGCCUAGCAGCACUGGUCUUCAAGCGGGUUACAUCCCCAUACCGGUGAUCCAUGAGGGUGGAGGAGGCCAAACACAGACGCAGCCUCAGUUGAAUCCUUCCGUCUACUCCCAGCGCGUCCCCUACUCAGAGCACCAGCAGCCCUUCUACCGCCUUCAGUCUGACGAAUGGCCCGGCUACUCUGCGGCGAUGCCGCCUGCCCGGGAGAGAGCCUCUCCGAUUCCCCAGCAUCGCGAUGCUACUUCUAUUCACCUCCAACCUCAUAUUAGAAGCCAGUCACCUAUUGUAACGCAGGUCGGGCUGGGAGAGAGACCACAGGCACAGCAGCAUGUCCUCACCAGAGAGCCACCCCAGAAAAUGGAGCAGGAGCAAAAAGGCCCUCAGCAGAAACCAGAGAGCGUGCAGCACCCACAGUCGCUGCCCACGUUUGCUGACGUCCAAAAGCCUCAACAGCCUCAACAGUUUCAACAGCCUCAACAGUUUCAACAGCCUCAACAGUAUCAGCAGUAUCAGCAGCCUCAACAGCUCCAACAGCCUCAACAGUUUCAACAGCCUCAACAGUUUCAGCAGCCUCAACAGUUUCAACACGCACCACCU
Molecule: long non-coding RNA, 1128 nt
Organism: Gasterosteus aculeatus (three-spined stickleback)
Lineage: Eukaryota; Metazoa; Chordata; Actinopteri; Perciformes; Gasterosteidae
Source: Ensembl